Molecule: non-coding RNA, 383 nt
Organism: Drosophila bipectinata
Lineage: Eukaryota; Metazoa; Arthropoda; Insecta; Diptera; Drosophilidae
Source: RefSeq, a predicted model, not a curated record
UGUUAAAUUCAGUUUAAGUUUAUCUUUUAAAACAAUUUAUCAUGGGCCUGAAAGCAAUGAAAUUUUUUGUUUUAAUGGUGUUUGCUUUACUAGUGACUAGCGAAGAUCUGAAAAGGUGCCAAAAUCCUAAUAACCCAAGAGUUUCUGGCGAUGGCUGCUACCCAAAGUCAAGUUGUGCCAAUCCAAUAAUAAAUCCAGGACUUGCAUUUAAGUCCCCUGACUGUAAGGAGUGGCAACUUUGCUGCGUUUGGGUAACUCAUAGAGAUUUUUCAAAUGGCAAUCAAAGAAUGAAUUUUUAAAUAAUUUUCCAUUUCAACUAAUAUAAAAAGUUCACCAAAUAUAUAAUGAAAGAAAUCUGAAUAAAUAUUAAGUUACUACCAUCA